Molecule: unclassified non-coding RNA, 299 nt
Filed under: uncultured Cortinarius
Lineage: Eukaryota; Fungi; Basidiomycota; Agaricomycetes; Agaricales; Cortinariaceae
Description: sequence contains ITS2
Rfam family: 5.8S ribosomal RNA (bases 1-52)
Source: RNAcentral
AACGCACCUUGCGCUCCUUGGUAUUCCGAGGAGCAUGCCUGUUUGAGUGUCAUUAAUAUAUCAACCUCUUCAGAUUUUUUUUGUCGAGUGUUGGAUGUGGGGGGUAUUUUUUUGCUGGUCUCUCUUUGAGGUCAGCUCCCCUAAAAUAUAUUAGCGGGACAAUUUGUUGACCGUUCAUUGGUGUGAUAACUAUCUACGCUAUUGACGUGAGGCAGGUUCAGCUUCUAACAGUCCAUUGACUUGGACAAAUCUUUUAUUAAUGUGACCUCAAAUCAGGUAGGACUACCCGCUGAACUUAA